GGGUUGUGAGGUUAAGCGACUAAGCGUACACGGUGGAUGCCCUGGCAGUCAGAGGCGAUGAAGGACGUGCUAAUCUGCGAUAAGCGCCGGUAAGGUGAUAUGAACCGUUAUAACCGGCGAUUUCCGAAUGGGGAAACCCAGUGUGACUCGUCACACUAUCAUUAACUGAAUCCAUAGGUUAAUGAGGCGAACCGGGGGAACUGAAACAUCUAAGUACCCCGAGGAAAAGAAAUCAACCGAGAUUCCCCCAGUAGCGGCGAGCGAACGGGGAGGAGCCCAGAGCCUGAAUCAGCAUGUGUGUUAGUGGAAGCGUCUGGAAAGGCGCGCGAUACAGGGUGACAGCCCCGUACACAAAAGCGCAUGUGCUGUGAGCUCGAUGAGUAGGGCGGGACACGUGGUAUCCUGUCUGAAUAUGGGGGGACCAUCCUCCAAGGCUAAAUACUCCUGACUGACCGAUAGUGAACCAGUACCGUGAGGGAAAGGCGAAAAGAACCCCGGCGAGGGGAGUGAAAAAGAACCUGAAACCGUGUACGUACAAGCAGUGGGAGCACAGGUUUACCUGUGUGACUGCGUACCUUUUGUAUAAUGGGUCAGCGACUUAUAUUCUGUAGCAAGGUUAACCGAAUAGGGGAGCCGUAGGGAAACCGAGUCUUAACCGGGCGUUAAGUUGCAGGGUAUAGACCCGAAACCCGGUGAUCUAGCCAUGGGCAGGUUGAAGGUUGGGUAACACUAACUGGAGGACCGAACCGACUAAUGUUGAAAAAUUAGCGGAUGACCUGUGGCUGGGGGUGAAAGGCCAAUCAAACCGGGAGAUAGCUGGUUCUCCCCGAAAGCUAUUUAGGUAGCGCCUCGUGAAUUCAUCUCCGGGGGUAGA
RNAcentral lists this ribosomal RNA (874 nucleotides) under Salmonella enterica subsp. enterica serovar Kentucky. RNAcentral's name for it is "partial 23S ribosomal RNA". It matches the Rfam family "Bacterial large subunit ribosomal RNA", at positions 1 to 906 of the family's 2925-position model. Lineage: Bacteria; Pseudomonadati; Pseudomonadota; Gammaproteobacteria; Enterobacterales; Enterobacteriaceae. The record is from RNAcentral.